ACAUUUAAUGCUUGUUCUUCUAUCAGUCAAUUAUAAAAUUGAAGAAUUUUUGCUUCCAUUUUGGUUGUAGCCCUUCUUCCUCCGUCUCAUUGUAGAUAUUCGAGCCUAUAAAUGUUAAAAGUCUUCGCUUCCAUUUCAACUUGAUGGCUUUUGUUGGUCCCUCGCUUGCUUGAUCCUUUGAGCCAUAUUUCUAUCGGUCGAGAAAAAAACAUAAAACACCAAAAUUAUUUUUGUUGCAUUGAGAUAACUUAUAUCAAUAGUAUAUUAAUUUAUCUCAAAUCAAAAAAUAUGUGUUGAUAUCACAAAAAAACACAAUUAUUGAAAAUCUUACUUAUGUCGAUCAAAAAUUAGAUCUCUAUUUCUCUAAACCCUAAUAUUAAACCAAAUAAAUAUUCUAUUGAAUUUUGAAAAAAUAUUGGAAAGGAAUAUUUCUCACGUAGAAAAGAUUUUCUAAUGAACAUACUUUAUUUUCAUUGUAGAACCCAAAUUUUGCCCGGGGCCCAUAAACCAUAAACCAAGAUAAAAAUAAUUAAUACUCCAUGACCCAAAACCCAAAUCUAUCCAACCCAAUUAUAGCCCAAAAAUUAAAACCCUAAAAGCCCAAUCAGCCCACAACCUUAACUAAUUUUCAGCAAACAAAAAAGAAAAAAAAAACUAGCCGCUCCUCCCUCUGUCCCCAAGAUUCAGUCGCCCCAUGCUACCUCUGCCCUUGGCCAUCACGUGCACCACCCACACCUGACACACCUGCAACAGAGACAAAAACAACAGCAAAAGAAAGCAUGCGAGGGAUGGGGGAAAGAAUAAACAAAAGAACGAAAACAAAAAAUAGGAAAUGAAUGUUUUAUAGAUCGGCUUUAAAAAGCCAAAAUCGAUCACAAAAAGGGGGGAUUUUUUUGAUAUUUCGAGGGGAGAAGGGAUUGUAUUUUAGGGGGAUUUUUAGAGAGGAAUCGAUUGUAUUUUGGGGGGAUAUAUAUAUAUUUCGGAGAUAAUACAAAGUUCAAGAGUAAAUCAAGAAUCGGAACUAAGUUUUGAAAGGUGAUUUUUCAUUUUUUUUUUGGAAUUUUCUCUUGAUUUGGAUUUCGUUUGUUCUGUUUCCUUUUCAAAUUUUUUUAAAACGGUUUUUUUUUUUAAAAAGAGAGGGAGAGAGGGGACUUACCGACGAACUAGCGACCUCGGCUCGCCGAUCUCCUAUGAGGGUGGCGCAGGCCCAAGAGAAAAUUUGGGAGCUUUCUCUCUGUUUUUCUUUAAGGAAAAUAAGAGAGGUGAUGGGGUAAUUUUUUUUAUUUUUUUUAAUUUUCAAAAAGGGGUGUUCAAUGUUUUAAAAAUAAAAAAAUAAAAAAGUAGGCUUCAUUUGUUUUUUUUCCCCUCAAAAGUAGAGCCCGGGGAAGGGGAAAAGCUGACCGUGCAUUCAAGGGAUGGAAAUGUGCACAUUUCUUUUAAAUGGGAAAUUUUCGCGAUUAGUCCCUGUCUUGGGUGCCUACGUUCAAUCAUGUCCUUUUUUUUGUUUUCUUUAAAUGCUUUCAAAUUACCCCGGAAAUUUGCGCCCAGACCCCUCCCUCCUUACCCACGUGUGCAUUUUGGUCCCCUUGUAUCCUUUUAUUCUGUUUUCACUCCAGAAUUUUAUUUUUUAAUUCAAUUAAGCCCUAUUUUGUUUAUUUUAGACACUUUUAUCACAAAUUUUUUUUUGGUAUUAUUAUUAAUCUAAUAUUACUAUUUUUUUACUAUCAUUUUUUAAAAUUAUUUUCCUAUUAUUUAUUAUACUAUUUUUUACACUAUUAUUUAUUAUACUUAUUAUAUCAUUUUCAUUAUUUCUUAUUUCUUUUCAUCUAAUUUAAUCAAUUGGAGUUAAGUUUCACAUUAUUAUAUUAUUUAUUUAUUUAUAUAUUUGAUAUAUGCUUCAUAUAUAUAUAUUUAAAAUAAAACUAAUUAUUUUAUGUACAAAUUGUCAUUAUAUGUAUCACAUUACUUGUUAUAUUAUUUUUGUUUUACUAAUAAUCAUUUUUUUUCUGUACUAUUUCUUUUUAUAUACAUAUUUUAUAAUAAUUUUAAAUAUAGUUUAUUAUACUUAUUAUAUUUUAUUUAUCAUGAAGACGAGACUUAAUAUUUGGCAAUUCGCAGAAUAGUGCCCUAACGUGUCGGGUUGCAAUUUCUCGUUUGCUCAAAAUAAUCGAAUAUUCCUUUAGGUUUUCACUCAUGUUUAUUAAAAACCUUUCAAUACAAAGGUUGUUCGAUGUUUGGCGAUUUGAGGAUCGUGCCCUAUCGUGUUGCGUUGCGCUUUGUCAUUUGUUCUAAACAAUCGAAGAUUCCUUCGAAAUUUCAUUCACGUUUUCUAAAAACCCUUUAAAAUGAAAGAAGUGUUCGAUGUUUGGCAGUUCGGGGAAUAGUGCCCUAUCGUGCUGGGCUGCAAUCUCCCGUUUGUCCAAAAUAAUUGAAUAUCUCUCCGGAAUUUCACUUGUAUUUUCCAAGGUGAGGCAAUCGUCAAUGUUUGGAAAUUCGAGGAAUCGUGCCCUACUGUGCUGGGUUUCGAUUUUUCGUUGGACUAAAUAGUUGAGCAUCCUUUUAUGAUUUUAUAAUUAUAAAUUUUCGGAUGUCGAAACAGGAAGAUUUUUGGUAACCAACUCAGGUUAUUCAAAUGUUAUUAAAAAAGAACCACAUUUCAAAAACAUUUCAAUUUUAGACAUAAGGACAAUAUUUAAUCGAUUUGGUACCAAUUUUGGGCGUAGUGAGGGUGCUAACCCUUCCUCAUACGUAACCGACUCCCGAGCCCGUUUUCUAAAAUUUUCGUAGACCGGAACCGUUGUUUUAGUAAACUAAAAAUGUUUUAUUAAAACAACCCAAAUUUUUAGGUGAUCCGAUCACACCUAAACAAGAAAAGAUUGGUGGCGACUCCAUUUUCACUUUCCAAAAAGUCGAUCCAUUAUUUUUAAAUCGAAAUGAAAAAAUGGUUUCGACAGCUUGGCGACUCCACUAGGGACGAAUGAGAGUCGAGCCAUAAAAAUCAAUUAUUUACUGUCCUUUUAUCGAAAAUCAAAAAUUUAUUUUAAAAAUCAUGUAUUUUUCGAUUGCAUUUGAUUGUGUGAUUGUCUUAGUGUGGGUCUUGUAAAAUAGCACUGUAUUUCAUUACAUGACCACUGUGGUCACACCUUCUAAGUGGGAGUAAGAAACUACGCUUUCGUGAGGUUUUCACCUCCGCAUGGGCUAGUGGAUUACUUCCGGGGUACAUCCGUACCUAUGAUUUUGUGAGAUUUUCAUCUCCGCAUGGUCAUAGGGAAAUGUAUCCCCCUGAACCGAACUUGAUCUAUAUGAGCCUAUAAUGGGUGAGGAUUGAGGAAUCUACUGGUUCGGGUACCUUAUCUCUAGAACUAAACCGUAUAUAGUGAACAUUAGGAACCAUCCUUGGGUGAAGCCACGUUGAGCCUUAGUACUUACCCGUAUAUGCGUCAUAGUUAUCGUUUAUGUGCUUGCAUUCUAUCGCUAUUAUUUGACACUAAUUGGUGUUUUGUUUUGUUUUGUCAUUUUUGCAAAACAUUACAUACUAAAGGAGGCGUUAAUUCGUAUUCAAUUACUAAGUUAGAAAAUUUGACAUGGAGAAUAAAUUUCUUAGUAAAGUCGAGGAUAAUGCGGCCGUUCGUGCAUGGUCGGAGAGGCUACGAUCAGAGAGAGGGGAUAGCUUGGCAGAAGGGUAUGUAUCAAAGCUACAAGAUUUCACUCGCGUCAAUGUAGUACAGAACGAGCUGCAAGGGUUGAGAGACAUUUGGGCUAGUUGGAAUGUAGGAAUCAAGCAAUUGUUUUACCAAAAUUAUGGUGACGUAUCCUACCUGCUAGAUAUUAGAGUGGAUAAGCAUUUGUUCCGAGCCUUGGUGCAGUUUUGGAAUUCUGCAUACAAAUGUUUCACUUUUGGAGAAGUGGAUUUGGUACCUACCAUGGAGGAAUACAUUACUUUGCUCAGGUGUCCCAAAAUUCAAGUCCGAAAGACUUAUGCUCGAGUUUUUAGUAGUCAGACUUUCGUGAAGAAACUGAUUAGCAUUUCUGGGAUGAGCGAGCCUUGGGUCACUGCUCGGAUUCAGCAAAAAGGAGAUAGCAAAUGUAUCCCUUGGGAGAAUUUGCGAGAUUUGAUCUUGACACAUCCAGAUGAAAGAAAGAGGGUUGAUAUAUUCACCUUAAGCAUCUACAGAUUAGUGAUCUUUCCUAAGGCUUUGAGGCACGUGGAUGAGGCGGUCAUUGACUUGUUUGAUCGCCUUGAAAAGGGAAUCACACCGGUACCAGCAAUAUUGGCAGAAACGUUUAGAUCUUUGAGCUCAUGUCGGAAAACAGGCGAGGGGCGAUUCAUUGGAUGUGCACAAUUAUUGAUGGCAUGGUUCCACGGGCACUUUUGGAAGGUAGAUAAAGUUUCCUAUCGAGUCUUCUCCGAGGAUUAUUCCCUAUUGAAAGAAGAGGCAACUAUACAGAGGAGAGAGGAUAUCUUAGAGGAGAAGUGGAUGGACAUUCUUCAGAACCUCAAGGAGGGGGAUAUCAAGUGGAGAGCUUAUUAGAUGGUUCCUGACGAGAUCAUGUACCGAUGUGGUAGCUUUGAUUGGGUGCCAUUGUUAGGAAUUUAGGAAGCUACUGGGUAUACUCCGCUGUUAGCCUUGAGGCAAUAUAAGUCAAGGCAGUUUGUACCCACGACCUAUGGGCUUGCUCAGAGUGAAUUCUCAUUUAAAGGUGCUCAUUAUAAGAAGAGAGUUCGGGAGUUAUCGGAUGCUUGGAAGCAAACUUGUUGGAUGAAGAGGUUAGCCAUCGGUUCCAUGGUAACGCCCGAGUAUAACAAGUGGUUUAAGAAGAGGAUUAAUGAUAAUAUUCCUAGGCCAAGCUUGGAGAAUGCUCAACCUAUCGAGGAACAAUUACAAGUUGCCUCAUCAGAAUUGGAAAUUAUAAGGCAAGAUUUCGAGAGGAAGAGUUCGGAGCUCGGGAAGAAGAUCGAACAGUUAGAAGAAGAGAAGAUGCAUCUAAGGUUAGACGCUGAUGUUCAGAGGUCAGAGGCUGAGAAAUGGAGAAAAGGAAAAACUAAGGCCGAAGAAGACCUAAAUAGCUUGAAGACAGACUACAAGAAGCUGCGCCUAUCUAUGAGGACUGCGGAUUUAGGUAAGACUUUUGAACAAUGGCGCCAUGAAAUUCGAGAAGAAAAAGCCAAUACCGAUCGGUGGGAAAGAAAAUUUCGAGAAGCUCAAGCACGAAACGAAGAUUUGGAGAAGAGUCUGUCAAAGAGAAGAAACGAGCGAGGUGAACUAAGGGCUAGAGUGGCAGAACUCGAGAAGUCUCUGCAUCAAUACUGAAACUGCAACACCGCAAUAGAGCUGAGGGCAAGCUUGAGCCAGAUAGAAGAGAUGAAAGGAAGAAUAGGAGAGUUAGAGGCAUCACUGCAGAACUGUGAGAUGCGGAUCCAGUUUUUCGAGGCAAACGAGGAUCGUUGGAAAGAGCAGCUUCACCAUGCAUAAGACCAAGCUAGAAACAGAGAUUACCUUAUGGGGGAAGCCAUAACCCAAAUUCGGGAGAUAGCAGACUACUUGCAAACUUUAGCGGUUCAAGAGGACAUACUGAGCGUGAAGUAUGAGUUGGAGUCGGAUCGCGAACAAGAGCUGGCCUCGUUGCUUAGAAAAAUCAAGACACUAAGUGUUAGAGCGAAAUUUUAUUUGUAAUUCGACUUUAUGUAAAAGAUUUUAUUUUCGAGUGAAAUUUUCUAAGGGAAAUUGAAUCAAAAUUGAUGCCUCCUUUACAUUCAUGCAUUUGCAUUACAUCAUAUCAUUAUGCAUUAAAGGCCAUAAGAGUUUUCUAAUUAAUUAAUUAAAAAUUAUUUCAGUAACCUGGAAACUAACGAAAACCAACCAACCACGCAUCCCUACUAUACGAGAAAAAAAAUCAAUAGAUAAGAGACUCGAGAAAUUAGAGCAAAUGCAAAAUGACAUGCAAGAAUAAAUGCAGUCCCAGAUGGAAGAGCAGCUAGCCAAAAUUCAACGAGAGAUGAAGGAGCAAAUGAUGGAGUCUCAAAGAGAGAUGAUGGCCCAGUUAUCCAAAUUACUGCUGGGAGGAAUGGAUAAGGGAGAGGGAGAUAUAUGGACCAAGUUGAGGAAACCAAUGAAGAUCUCCAAUACCCCCUGGCUUUACUCCGAUGCAUAUACUGAUGAAGCCCGAGAUUAACCUACAAAAACCAUCUGUCACAAUCAUGCCCCAGCAAGUUCAGCCCGGAGCUUCAAUUUCGAUAAACUUCCAAGCCGGUUCAGGCUCUAACUUUGUCAACAACCCGAACUAUCCGCCUGUUCCCGACUUGGAUGAAGCUGCUGAAGAGGAAAAGGUGAGGAUGGAUUCGCAAAAACAAUUGGAAGAACGUUGUAGAUAGCUCGAGGAAAAAUUCAAAGCCAUGGAGAGCGCGGAUCAUCAUCAAGGGAUUGAUGCCAAAGAUUUGAGUCUGGUCCCAGAUUUAGUCCUCCCCUCUAAAUUCAAAAUGCCUGAAUUCGAGAAAUACAAUGGAACAAGUUGCCCUGAAGCCCACAUCACCAUGUUCUGCAGGCGAAUGACGGGAUAUGUUAACAAUAACCAGCUACUAAUCCACUGCUUUUAAGAUAGUCUGGUUGGAGCGACGUCUAAGUGGUAUAAUCAACUGAGUCGAGCCAAGAUUAACUCAUGAAAGGACCUGGCUCAGGCCUUUAUGAAGCAAGACAAUCAUGUGACGGACAUGACCCCUGACAGAAUCACUCUCCAGAAUAUGGAAAAAAAAGUCAAAUGAAAGCUUCAGACAGUAUGCACAAAGGUGGAGAGAGGUGGCCAUACAAGUUCAGCCACCACUUCUAGAAAAGGAGACGACAAUGCUCUUUAUCAACACCUUGAAAGCCCCUUUUAUCACCCAUAUGUUAGGAAGCGCCAUAAAAAGCUUUUCCGACAUAGUGAUGACGGGGGAAAUGAUCGAGAAUGCUGUGAGGAGCAGCAAAAUAGAGUCGGGAGAGAGUGCCAGAAAGUCAGCCCCAAGGAAAAGGGACAAUGAAGUGAACAACACGAGCAAAUUCAACAAGGGGCAGUCCAAGUCAAUUACCGUGAAUCAACCCAAAAUAGUGACUACCAAUCAACAAAGCUCUGUAAGACAAGAAUCCAAUUCGAGGAAGAAUACAGAAAGGCCACAAUUCACCCCUAUACCCAUGACAUAUAGGGAGUUGUACCAGAACCUGUUCAACGCUCAUGUAGUAUCCCCUUUCUACCCAGAGCCACUGCAGCCCCCGUAUCCCAAAUGGUAUGACACAAACGCCCAAUGUGAAUACCACGCGGGAAUUACCGGGCACUCAAUCGAGAAUUGUACUGCGUUCAAGAAAGUAGCCGAAAGACUCAUUAAGGUGAGGAUUGUGAGAUUUGACGACCCAGCCACGCCCAAUGUAGCAGGAAACCCACUCCCCAAUCAUACCGACCAAGGAGUGAAAGGGAUAAGUGAAGGCUUGAAUAAGAAGACCAAGUAUGAAGUGGCAGAAGUCAGGACCCCAUUGAGGCGGGUAUGGAAGGAGAUGGCCAAGAGAGAAUUGAUCGUGUUGGAUUCGAGGGAAGAAUACGAAGAAGAGAGAAACUACUGUGUGUUUCACGAUAAUGUGGGGCAUGAAAUUCAAGAUUGCAUGGAGUUCAAAGCCCUAGUACAAAACAUGAUGAACAAUAAAGAAAUUGAAUUCUAUGAAGAGACUGAAAACCCUGUAGAGGGAGAUAUAUGUACAUCAGAAGGAGAAUCGAUGGCACAAAAUCGAACGCCUAAUUAUCCCAUGGUGAUCAUUUCGAGACCCAAAAAUAAUGAAAUUGGAGUACAAAUGCCACCGAGGAUCAUAAUCCAAAGACCUGUAGUCUUCCCUUACAAAGACAGUAAAAAGGUCCCAUCGAAUUAUGAUUGCAGUGUGACGAUACCGGGAAAGGAGAGCCCAGUUGACACUUCAAGAGGGGACCAAGACAAGGGUUCCUAUACACGUAGCGGGAGGCGUUACGACACAGCAAAUGAAGAGGUGCAGCCCACAAAAGGAAAAGCCCAGGUGUUUGAGGAAAUGAAGGGAAAAGCAACCAAACCAUUAAUGAGCCAGUUAACGAAGAGGAGGCCAAGGAGUUUUUAAAAUUCCUAAAGCAUAGUGAAUACAGUGUGGUGGAAUAGCUACGUAAACAACCAGCCCGUAUUUCGGUGUUGGCCUUACUUCUAAGCUCGGAAGUUCAUCGUAGCGCACUAAUGAAGGUCUUAAACGAGACAUACGUUGCCAAUGACAUCUUCGUUAACAAACUAGACCGUUUGGUGAACAACAUAAGUGCCGACAAUUAUAUCUUCUUUAAUGACGACGAGAUACCACCCGGGGGCAUGGGGUUGAGUAAAGCUCUACAUAUCACCACGCGCUGUAAAGGGUAUACGCUGCCAGGCGUACUGAUUGACAAUGGGUCGGCUUUGAACGUCUUGCCUUUGACCAUGCUGAAUAGAUUACCUAUAGACAGCUCUCACAUGAAGGAAUGCCAGAACAUCGUAAAGGCAUUUGAUGGCACGAAGAGAAAGGUGAUGGGCAGAAUCGAGGUACCUCUUCAAAUUGGGCCAAACACAUAUGAGGUGGAUUUCCUCGUAAUGGACAUCAAGCCCUCAUACAAUUGCUUGUUGGGAAGGCCCUGGAUACAUUCGGCUGGGGUAGUGCCUUCCUCAUUGCAUCAGAAAUUGAAGCUAAUAUCGGAAAGGAGAUUGAUAACGAUCAAGGCUGAGGAGGAUAUUAUUGCAACUGUGAGCAAUAAUGUACCCUAUUUGGAGACAGAUGACGAAGCAAUCGAAUGCUCAUUUCGAUCUUUGGAAUUUGUUAAUGCGACCAUCAUCGCCGAGGGAAGCAAAAUUCUGGUGCCAAAAUUGUCAAAAACCACGAGGAUAAGCCUCCAGCUGACGAUUGGAAGAGGGGCCCUGUAACACCCCAAACUCGGCCCAGAAGUUAUGGCCGGAUCCGGCAUACCACAUCAAAAACGUAAAAAAAAUUUCCAUUCUAAGUCCAGAAAAUCGUACUUGAUGUUCAAAAGAUUAAUUCAUUAAGGGUUAAAGUGAAUGGAAGCUGUGCACCAGGUAGGAAACCAAAAAAGAGGUGGUGAGUCCAUCGGACUGCUUAAGUACCAAGCUCCCUUUGGAUCCAAUCCUAGACAUGCAUACCGCCAUUGCCACACCUUAACAUCAUGGAUAGUUCUAGGAAACCGAUUCGAUUAAGUCAUUUUUAGGAAAAGUGAUUAAUUUUGGAAAAUACUUUCAUUGCGGAAGCUUUGCUUGUUGUCGUGUUAUUUUGAAAUCAACUGUUGUUUUUGAAAACGCGCCCUAAAGCUAUCCAAUUUCAACAGUUAAAAUAAGUAUUACCUAUCUUAGUAAUACAUAUUAAAAACCAUCAAAAAUAAAUAAGCGGCCUUAUUACAUUUAAAAGCCCAAAACCUCAAACGUAAUUAAAAGGAUGUCCAGUUCACCAGAAGAAAAUCAAACUUUAUCGCCACUCCGAAUUCCCUCACACCUCCAAGCCCACUAUGGUUGGGGAUUUCCUGCGUGGAUGAAAAUAAAAGGGGUGAGUUUGGGGAAACUCAGUGUGUAAGGAAAACCCAUUCAAAGCCCAAGUCAGCUCAAGCCUAUUGGGCCUAAGCCCAUUCAGGUAACAGUGGUACUGGGCCAGAGCCCUUUUCAGAUUACAAUAAACUGGGCCUUAGCCCCUUAUUCAGAUAACAGUAUGGCCCAUAGGCCCAUUUCAAAAUACAUGCAACAUCAGUAAACAUAUGCAAGCCCAUUUGGGGAGACUACUCAACCCACCAACCACUACACUCCACCCGUACCAGCCAUACACUCCAUGUGGGGAAUAGCUCAACCCACCCAGCCCAACACUCCACAGUUGCAGCCUUGCUGCUCAAUUAACAGUAAAUUGAGGCAAAGCCUCCAGUACGUGGACAAGUCACUUUCAAUACUUCCUCCGUCAAUAUCCCAGUCCCAUGCAUCAGAUAAUAACAUGGCAUGCAGUAAAUAACAACAGUCAAACAUGCAUUUAGGUCAAUUUAACCCUAGAGGUAUUUCGGUAAUUUAUCUCUUAGGGGUAAAACUAUAAAUUUUCCACUUUUAAAGGUAUUUUAGUAAUUUAUCUAUUUUAGGGUUUUUCAUGCAUAUUCCUACCUUUCACGUACUAACAGAAUCACGUACCGAGGGUUCUUACCGAAUUGGGCCCGUUGGCCCAUCAUUCCAAUUUUGGCCCAUUAAGCCCAAAAAUAUCGAGGGCACAGAAAUCAUGCACUUUGUAGUCCAAACAUUGCAGCUUACCAAAAACAUUAAUCGAUUUACCUCACGAGCAUUCGCACACUCGCAAAUCUACAAAAUACCAGUUUUCGGCAUUUCGGCUUUUCGGCUUUUGCCGAUCUAGACUAAGAAAGAGGGUGUUAGUUACACACCUGUUCACGACGAUAUGCUGACGAGAUCCACACACGAACCGCCUACAAUUGGAUUACUAACACGUUAAUCUAACUAUUCAAAUACGAACUAUGUAUUAACCCCUUAUAAUAUUCUGCCAACCACACCUACAGAUCAUAGUAAGCUUAUAAGAAAUCAAUAAGCAACUCAUUAACAAAUUUUUGUCAAUGUUUACCACAUAAUCAUAAUUUCACUGCAAGCUGUCUUCCUGAGCAACAGUCACUAAAUCAUUUAUAACUGGAGCUACGAAACUCCAAAUAAAGUUCCGUUAAUUUUACCUGAAAAUAUACUCAUAUAUCUUCUAUCCAUAAAAUUUUCAGAAUUUUUGGUUUAUCCAAUCAAUACCAGAUUUUUCUCAAAGUUUCCCAUGUUUCACUGUUUGACUAAUCUGACCACUCUUCAUUAUGAAUCAAAUUUCUCAUUGUACAGAAUUCAAAAUAUGUUAUUGUUUAUUUCAUUAGAAACUAGACUCAAUAAGAUUUAAUUACAUAAUUUAUUCAGCUUCUAAUUCAUCUCCCACAAUUUAUGGUGAUUUUUCAAAGUCACAUUACUGCUGCUAUCCCAAGCAGAUUUAUUACCAAAUCACUCUUUCACACAUACCUUGCAUGCAUGUUAUUUAAACAUGUAUAACACCAAUCAAUCAUCACAUAUCUAUGAUUUUACUUAAGUAUAAUCUCCAUUUAAUCAUUUUAAAGCACAACAUGUUAGCCGAUUUUUCCCUUUAGCAUCUAAGGCACAUGCAUGCUCAUUUGUUUGGCUCAACUUCACCUAUCUUCCAUUUUUCAUCAAAAGAACAUGAAACAACAACCAUUUCCUUCAUUUUAAUUCAUAACAAAAUGCUCACAACACAACUAAAAACCAAAAUAUGCUUCAAGAGUUAAGGUAGAAUCAAGAAGAACUCAUGAACCUCAAAAUAGAAGCAUGGUACCAAGAACUUACCUUUAAUUUUCCUCCUCCUAAUGACCGAAUACUCAAGAGCUUUCUCCUCUCCUUUCUCUUCUCUAACUUUCAGCUAUGAUGAACAAAGAUGGACAAAACUUUGUUCUUUUCACCCCUUUUUUUUAAUAAAACUUCAUAUUUCAUCCAUUUAAUUCUUUAAUACAAAAGACAUGAAAUUCUUUUCAUGAAACAUUUACCUAACCCAUUAUCAUGGAACAUUUACCUAACCUAUUAUCAAUUUGUAUCAAUUUGUACCAUAAAUUAUGGAUAUCAAGUGCACAUUUUGUCUACAACAACAUGAUGGCUGGCCACUUCAUGUAAAAUGGGAGGUUUGUCAUGCAAAUCCUCCUAUUUUGCACUCCUAUUUAUUUGGUCACUUCAAUUUAGCCUAUAGCAUUUUCAAACAUUUUCACAUAAGUUCUAUUUCAUAAUUUCACCCCCUUUUUGUUAUGGAACAAAAAUUAACUAAAAUUGUCGGGUUCUAUCUUAAGUUUGGGCUUUCUAGAGGCCCACUAACAUAAUUAAACCUAUGCCAACAUUCACAGGAUUCCCGAAAAUUGGGGCGUUACAGGCCCUACCCGGAAGGGGACUUGGGAGACAUCUGCAAGGAAGGGUUGAAACGCCAAUACCGAAUGACAAGAGAGACCGCUUCGGUUUAGGAUUUAAGCCGAAUGCGAAACAAAGGAGAAGGGAGCUGGAAAAGAAGCAAGAAAGAAGAAGAGCUCGAUUAACGGAGGAGGAAAUCAAGUGGGAACCAAUGACAUUCCCCCAUAUAUCGAAAACAUUUGUGUCCGGGGGAAUCAUUCAUCCCGAGAGAGACACACCAAUUACGAGAGCUAUAGAAGAAAGGCUGGAAAGCUUGGACAUCAACGUCAUAUGCGAAGAGGAGACUGGAAGAGAGAAUUUGUCGGGCAUUUACCUCUGCACGCUUGGAAGUGUUCUGGACAACUGGACUGCGGAAGAGAUUCCUGUAGUUUUUAGAACGGAUUCAGAGUAAUGUCCAAAACACACUUAUUGCUCUAGGCCUAGGAGUAAUAAGAAUCUUUUGUGAAAUAGGCCGAUGUUUAAAAAUGACAUUUCAGUAAAAUGCACGGUUAUUAUCAAUUUUGAGCAAAUGUUUUCUCGUCCUUUCAAUUCCAUUCAUAACCAUACAAAUGAUUACUUUUGAAUUCUUUUAUUCUUGAAACAUUCUUUUAAAUAUUCUUUCAUUCGUCAUUCAUGAUCAUAUCACGCAAAUAAAUAUUUCGAAUUCUUUUGAUUCUUUGUAUCUGCCUUCAUCCUCAUAACAGGUCCCCAGAUAUUAAUGAUACGAGUGACACUGCUAGCGACUCAGAAUUUCCUUUCGAGCAAGAUAUGUGUAUGGAUGAUUCUCAGGAUUUUGAAGAGGACCAAGGCUGUAACCUAUCUCCUGAUUUGUUGAGGAUGGUAGAACAAGACGAGAAACAAAUCCUACCUCACAAAGAAUCAGUCGAAAUUGUGAGCUUAGGAGAAGGACAAGAGGUGAAGAUCGGAACAUGUAUCACUGCGGAGAUGAAGCGAGACCUCAUUGAAUUACUUCAAGAAUUCAAAGAUGUCUUCGUAUGGUCAUACCAAGAUAUGCCCGGGUUGGACACUGACAUCGUGGUUCACCGACUCCCCAUAAAAGAAGAGUGUAAGCCUGUUCAGCAAAAACUCCGAAGAAUGAGGCCUGAUGUCUUGUUAAAAAUAAAGGCAGAAGUUCGAAAACAGUUUGACGCUGGAUUCCUGAAUGUGGUAAAAUACUCAGAUUGGGUAGCCAACAUCGUCCCUGUCCCUAAGAAAGAUGGAAAAGUGUGAAUGUGUGUGGACUACAGAGAUUUGAAUAAAGCCAGCCCAAAAGACAAUUUCCCACUACCUCAUAUCGACACCCUAGUGGACAACACGGCGGGACACUCACUGUUUUCAUUCAUGGACGGUUUUUCAGGAUAUAACCAGAUUAAGAUGCAUCCUGAAGAUAUGGAGAAAACCAUAUUUGUAACUAUGUCGGGCACGUUCUGCUACAAGGUGAUGCCGUUUGGACUGAAGAAUGCGGGGGAAACUUAUCAAAGAGCCAUGGUAACCCUUUUUCACGACAUGAUGCAUAAAGAAAUCGAGGUCUAUGUUGAUGACAUGAUAAGCCUCGAACAGAGAAGGAGCACAUACAAGUCCUGGGAAAAUUAUUUUUGAGGUUGAGGAAGUUUCAGCUAAAACUCAACCCCGCCAAAUGUACCUUUGGAGCCAAGUCUAGAAAGUUGCUCGGAUUCGUGGUUAGUGAGAAAGGGAUCAAGAUUGAUCCAGACAAAGUUAAAGCCAUACAAGAGCUAUCCCCGCCGCACACUCAGAAAGAAGUUCGAGGCUUUCUAGGAAGAUUAAAUUACAUUGCUCGGUUCAUUUCACAACUGACCGAGAAAUGUGACCCUGUCUUUCGCCUCCUCAAGAAACAUAACCCAGGUGAAUGGGAUAAAGAAUGCCAAAGGGCUUUUGACAAGGUCAAACAGUAUUUAUCCAAUGCCCCGGUGUUGAUGCCACCUAACCCCGAUAAGCCGUUGAUACUGUAUUUGACAGUAUUCGAGAACUCCAUGGGAUGCGUAUUGGGUCAGCAUGACGAGUCGGGGAGGAAAGAAAAAGCUAUUUACUAUCUCAGUAAAAAGUUCACGGAAUGUGAGGCAAGGUACCCACCGAUAGAGAAGUUGUGUUGUGCCCUAAUUUGGACAGCCCGAAGACUGAGGCAAUAUAUGUUAUAUCACACCACUUGGCUUAUCUCAAAAUUGGACCCCUUGAAGUACAUGAUGGAGUCAACAACUUUGAAUGGAAGGAUGGCCCGAUGGCAGAUUCUACUUUCUGAAUUCGACAUAGUCUAUGUGAACCAGAAAGCAGUAAAAGGAAGUGCAAUAGCAGAUUUUCUGGCCAGUAGAGCUUUGGAAGACUACGAGCCUUUGAACUUCGACUUCCCGAAUGAAGACCUAAUGUGUGUUGCUACCACUAAAAAAGGUGCUCUCGAAGAACUUCCUUGGAAAUUGAAUUUCGAUGGGGUGUCAAACGCUGUGGGCAAUGGAAUCGGGGCCGUCUUAGUGUCCCCAAAUGGAGAUCAUUAUCCAUUCACUAGUAAAUUGGAUUUUGAUUGUACAAAUAAUAUGGCAGAAUACGAGGCGUGCAUCAUGGGAGUCCAUGCAGCCAUAGAACGCAAGAUUAAGGCGCUAGAGGUGUAUGGGGAUUCCGUGCUAGUGAUUUAUCAACUCAAGGGAGAAUGGAUGACUAGAGAUCCCAAGUUGAUCGACUAUCGAAAACUAGUCCUUGAAUUGGUUAAAGAGUUUGAUGACAUUACCUUCCACUACCUUCCACGAGACGAAAAUCAGAUGGCUGAUGCUUUGGCUACCUUAGCUUCCAUGAUCAAGGUGAACAAAUAAGAAGAUGUCAAACCCAUCCGGAUGAGCAUUUAUAAAAUUCUGGCCCACUGUUACAAUAUUGAAGAAAAUAAAGAGAGAGAUGAUCACCCUUGGUAUCAUGAUAUAUUGCAAUAUUUGAAGAAUCGUGAAUACCCAAACCAGGCAAGCGAGAAUGACAAAAAAACUCUAAGAAGGCUGGCUAUCGACUAUGUCUUAGAUGGGGAUAUAUUAUACAAAAGAAGAAAAGAUCAAGUGCUACUAAGAUGUGUAGACGUCGUAGAAGCUAAGAAAAUCUUGGAAGAAGUCCAUGAAGGCGUCUGUGGGACGCAUGCUAAUGGCUUUACAAUGGCCAGGAAAAUUAUGAGAUUCGGGUACUAUUGGUCCACCAUGGAAGGAGACUGUGUCAAUUACGCCAAGAGAUGUCAUAACUGCCAAAUCUAUGGGGACAAAAUUCAUGUGCCUCCUUCAUCGCUGCAUGUCAUGGUUGCUCCAUGGCCAUUCUCGAUGUGGGGCAUGGAUGUGAUUGGACCAAUAUCGUCGAAAGCUUCCAAUGGGCAUCGAUUCAUCUUUGUGGUUAGUGACUACUUCACCAAAUGGGUAGAAGCCGCUUCGUAUGCUAGUGUGACAAAGUCAGCAGUAAGCAAGUUUCUGAAAAAGGAGAUCAUAUAUCGAUAUGGAAUGCCGGAGAGGAUUAUAUCUGACAAUGCAUUAAACUUGAACAAUAGUACAAUAGCGGAAGUCUGCAGUCAAUUCAAGAUUAGACAUCACAGCUCGUCACCAUAUCACCCAAAGAUGAAUGGGGCAGUGGAAGCGGCUAAUAAAAACAUUAAGAAAAUUGUGGGGAAGAUGACCGAAACCUACAGAGACUGGCAUGAGAAGUUACCAUUUGCCCUCUUUGCUUAUCGAACGUCAGUCAAAACCUCAACUGGGGCAACCCCUUUCUCCUUGGUCUACGGAAUGGAAGCAGUGUUGCCAAUCGAAGUUGAAAUCCCGUCUCUUCGAGUGUUGUCAGAGUUAAAGUUAGAGGAAGCAGAAUGGAUCCAGUCUCGAUACGAUCAAUUGAACUUGAUUAAGGAAAAGAGGCUAAGAGCUAUCCGUCAUGGUCAGAUGUACCAAAAAUGAAUGAUGCGGUCUUAUGACAAAAAGGUUCGCCCUAAAGAAUUCCACAAGGGAGACCUAGUUUUGAAAAAAUCCUUCCCAUACAGAAAGAUUUUCGAGGAAAAUGGAUGCCUAAUUGGGAGGGGCCUUACGUGGUGAAGAAAGCUUUCUCCGGAGGAGCAUUGAUUCUAGCCGAGAUGGAUGGCAAAAACUUUUCCAAUCCUAUAAAUUCAAAUUCUAUCAAGAAGUAUUUCACUUAAAGAAGAAGAGGUCAAGGUGAAAACCCGCAAAUGGCGCUUUAAAAAAAACCAAAAAAUUUUGGAGAGGCCAAGGUGAAAACCCGCAAAGGGCACUUUGAGACCAAAGGGUUUUUGAGUUGAAAACCCGUAAACGGGUAGCUCAAAUUUCAAAUGUGGGAUAUAUGGUAGUCUUGCCCUCCCAAAAUCAAUAAGAGGGAGGAGCAGUACACCUUGGGACAUCAACAAAAUGCGCUUGAUCUCUGAAACACACAUUUAGCUUGAAGGAGCCUUUGAGAAAUUAAAAUAGUGAAGCUCGUGCUGCGAUAUCUGGGGCACCUUUUUCCUCAUUUUAUUUUGAGCCUUACCAGUGCAGUGGAAUCGGUGAAUUCACAAGUCUUAACCCCCUAAGCAGUGGGGCAACAAGCUGAAAAUUAUAGAUCUUGUUUCCCCGAGAUUGUAGUGGAUCAGAUCGAAGACGGCGAAUCUAGGUUUCCUGAUGUUGCAGCGAAGCAGAUUUAAACCACCAUCCUAGCUCCCUAAAGUUGUAGUGGAGUAGGCUGAAGAUUGUAGAUCUUGUUUCCCUGAGAUUGCAGUGGAGCAGAUCGAAGACAGCGAAUCUAGGCUUCCUGAUGUUGCAGUGAAGCAGAUUUAAGCCACCAUCCUAGCUCCCUAAAGUUGUAGUGGAGUAGGUUGAAGAUUGUAGAUCUUGUUUCCCUGAGAUUGCAGUGGAGCAGAUCGAAGACAACAGAUCUAGGCUUCUUGAUAUUGUAGUGAAGCAGAUUUAAGCCACCAUCCUAGCUCCCUAAAGUUGUAGUGGAGUAGGUUGAAGAUUGUAGAUCUUGUUUCCUUGAGAUUGUAGUGGAGCAAAUCGAAGACGGCAGAUCUAGGUUUCCUGAUAUUGCAGCGAAGUAGAUUUAAGUCACCACCCUAGCUCCCUAAAGUUGUAGUGGAGUAGACCCAAGAUUGUAGACUUCGUCUCCAAUGGAGCAGAUCAAAGAAAACAAGCCUCAACACCCUAAGUAGUAGGGCAAUAGGCCGAAGAUUACAAGAUCUCGUCUCCCUGAAGUUGCAGUGGAGCAAGAUCAAAAUCAUGAUCCUUGUCUCUUUGAUGUUGCAGUAGAGCAGGAUAAAAAAACACGUGAACCAUAUCUCCCUGAAGUUGCAGUAAAGCAGGUCGAAGUUACAAGUCUUAUCUCCCUGAAGUUGCAGUGGAGCAAACUGAAGAUAGCAAAUCUUAUUUCCCUGAAGUUGCAGUGGAACAGAUUGAAGCUAAAUUACAGAUCUUAUCUCUCUGAAGUUGCAGUAGAGUAAGUCGAAGUUACAAGUCUUAUCUCCCUGAAGUUGCAGUGGAGCAGACUGAAGAUAGCAAAUCUUAUUUCCCUGAAGUUGCAGUGGAACAGAUUAAAGCUAAAUUACAGAUCUUAUCUCUCUGAAGUUGCAAUAGAGCAGGUCGAAGUUACAAGUCUUAUCUCCCUGAAGUUGCAGUAGAAUAGACUGAAGAUAGCAAAUCUUAUUUCCCUGAAAUUGCAGUGGAACAGAUUAAAGCUAAAAUUACAGAUCUUAUCUCUCUGAAGUUGCAGUAGAGUAGGUCGAAGUUACAAGUCUUAUCUCCCUGAAGUUGCAGUGGAGCAGACUGAAGAUAGCAAAUCUUAUUUCCCUGAAGUUGCAGUAGAACAGAUUGAAGCUAAAUUACAGAUCUUAUCUCUCUGAAGUUGCAAUAGAGCAGGUCGAAGUUACAAGUCUUAUCUCCCUGAAGUUGCAAUAGAGGAGACUGAAGAUAGCAAAUCUUAUUUCCCUGAAGUUGCAGUGGAACAGAUUAAAGCUAAAAUUACAGAUUUUAUCUAUCUAAAGUUGCAGUAGAGUAGGUCGAAGUUACAAGUCUUAUCUCCCUGAAGUUGCAAUGGAGCAGACUGAAGAUAGCAAAUCUUAUUUCCCUGAAGUUGAAGUGGAACAGAUUGAAGCUAAAUUACAAAUCUUAUCUCUCUGAAGUUGCAGUAGAGCAGAUCAAAACAGAUCUUGUCUCUCUGAUGUUGUAGUGGAACAGAUUGAAGACGGUAAAUCUUGCCUUCCUGAAGUUGCACUGAAGCAGAUUCAAGCCACCAAGCCUUAAUCACUUAAGCAGUAGGGUAAUAGGCUGAAAAUUACAAAUCUUGCCUUCCUGAAGUUGUAGUGAAGCAGAUUCAAGCCACCAAGCCUUAACCCUAUAAGCAAUAGGGUAAUAGGCUAAAAAUCAUUAGUCUUAUCUCCCUGAAAUUGCAGUGGAGCAGACUGAAGACAACAGAUCUUGUCUCCUUGAAGUUACAAUGGAGCAAGUCAAGCUACAAUUAUAGAAGAACAUAUUAAAGCCACAAACCUCAUCUCCCUAAAGUUGCAGUGGAAUAGGUUAAAAGCCACAGCAGAUCUCCUUGAAGUUUCAACGGAAGAAGAUCAAAUUACAGAUAUUAUCUCUCUGAAGUUGCAGUAGAGUAGGUCGAAGUUACAAGUCUUAUCUCCCUGAAGUUGUAGAGGAGUAGACUAAUGAUAGCAAAUCUUGUUUCCCUGAAGUUGCAGUGGAAUAUAUUAAAGCUAAAUUACGGAUCUUAUCUCUCUAAAGUUACAGUAGAGUAGAUUAAAACAGAUUUGGCGUCUCUGUGUUGGUAGAGAGCAGAUCGAAAAUAGCAGAUUUGGCAUCCCUGUUCUUAUAGGGAACAGAUCGAAGAUAACGGAUUUGGCGUCUCUGUAUUGACAGAGAGCAGAUCAAAGAUAGCAAAUAUCGCCUUCGUAAGUUGCAGUGAAGCAGAUUGAAGCUGUCAAGAGGCCAUUUAAAGAAGAUCAAGGAUCAAGAACUCAAGACUCGGUGAGUCCGGGCAAAAUUGGUCCUUUUAUAGUCUUUGCUCUAUUCCUGUUAACACAGUAAUGAGCAAAGAGGGGCAGCUGUAGAACCCAAAUUUUGCCCGGGGCCCAUAAACCAUAAACCAAGAUAAAAAUAAUUAAUAGUCCAUGACCCAAAACCCAAAUCUAUCCAACCCAAUUACAGCCCAAAAAUUAAAACCCUAAAAGCCCAAUCAGCCCACAACCUUAACUAAUUUUCAGCAAACAAAAAAGAAAAAAAAACUAGCCACUCCUCCCUCUGUCCCCAAGAUUCAGUCGCCCCAUGCUACCUCUGCCCUUGGCCAUCACGUGCACCACCCACACCUGACACACCUGCAAUAAAGACAAAAACAAUAGCAAAAGAAAGCAUGCGAGGGAUGGGGGAAGAAUAAACAAAAGAACAAAAACAAAAAAUAGGAAAUGAAUGUUUUAUAGAUCGGCUUUAAAAAGCCAAAAUCGAUCACAAAAGGGGGGAUUUUUUUGAUAUUUCGAGGGGAGAAUGGAUUGUAUUUUAGGGGGGAUUUUUAGAGAGGAAUCGAUUGUAUUUUGGGGGGAUAUAUAUAUAUUUCGGAGAUAAUACAAAGUUCAAGAGUAAAUCAAGAAUCAGAACUAAGUUUUGAAAGGUGAUUUUUCAUUUUUUUUUGGAAUUUUCUCUUGAUUUGGAUUUCGUUUGUUCUGUUUCCUUUUCA
Molecule: long non-coding RNA, 19639 nt
Filed under: Gossypium barbadense (sea-island cotton)
Lineage: Eukaryota; Viridiplantae; Streptophyta; Magnoliopsida; Malvales; Malvaceae
Description: long non-coding RNA (GBAR_LNC010978)
Source: RNAcentral